GCCCUGGUAGCUCAGUGGCAGAGCGCCUGUCUUGUAAUAGGACAAAACAGGAAAACAGGAGGUCGAGGGUCCAACCCCCUCUCAGGGCU
This 89-nucleotide transfer RNA is filed under the name Candidatus Mancarchaeum acidiphilum. Its description in RNAcentral is "Candidatus Micrarchaeota archaeon Mia14 tRNA". It matches the Rfam family "tRNA". From Rfam's summary of the family: Transfer RNA (tRNA) molecules are approximately 80 nucleotides in length. Their secondary structure includes four short double-helical elements and three loops (D, anti-codon, and T loops). Lineage: Archaea; Nanobdellati; Microcaldota. The record is from Rfam by way of RNAcentral.